UAUCUCUGUAGAGUCUGCAUAUCAAUAAGCGGAGGAAAAGAAACUAACUAGGAUUCCCUUAGUAACGGCGAGUGAAGCGGGAAGAGCUCAAAUUUGAAAUCUUCAAGGGUUUACCUUUACGAAUUGUAGUUUAAAGAAGUGUUUUCUGUUGAGUGUUUUGGUAAAAGUUCUUUGGAAUAGGACAUCAUAGAGGGUGAGAAUCCCGUAUUUGACCAUUACUUUCCAACUUUGUGAUACACUUUCAAAGAGUCGGAUUGUUUGGGAAUGCAGUCCAAAAUGGGUGGUAAAUUUCAUCUAAAGCUAAAUAUUGGCGAGAGACCGAUAGCGAACAAGUACCGUGAGGGAAAGAUGAAAAGAACUUUGAAAAGAGAGUUAAACAGUACGUGAAAUUGUCAAAAGGGAAGCGUUUGACACCAGUGUUGUUUUCUCGAAAAUCAAUUAAAAAUGGCUUGAUUUUGUGUUGUAUUGACCUUAAAAGCUUUCUUCACUUUUUUCAUGUCUUUUUUAAUGCACUUUUCGUUUAACAAGUCAACAUCAGUUUCUUUUGUUGUAAAAAGGUCAUUGGAAGGUGGCUUUCUUUUCGGAGAAAGUGUUUAUAGCCUUUGACUUCUGCAAUCGGAGAGACUGAGGUCUGCAGCGUAGAUCCUUCUGGAUUAGAUUCAUUUGUGCUAAGUUACAACCGUUUAUAGACAACUUGUUGACUAUAUUCGAUCCUGUAGCUUACUCGCUUAUGUAAUUUUACCUACGCUUAGGAUGUUGAUAUGCAUGACUGAUAU
This 776-nucleotide ribosomal RNA is filed under the name uncultured Neocallimastigales. RNAcentral's name for it is "partial large subunit ribosomal RNA". It matches the Rfam family "Eukaryotic large subunit ribosomal RNA", at positions 24 to 634 of the family's 3401-position model. The record is from RNAcentral. Lineage: Eukaryota; Fungi; Neocallimastigomycota; Neocallimastigomycetes; Neocallimastigales.